CGCUYGUCUCAAAGAUUAAGCCAUGCACGUCUAAGUACUCGCCUUGGUCUAUUUAAAGUGAAACCGCGAAUGGCUCAUUAAAUCAGUUAUGGUUCACUGGACCGUACCACAUCCUACUCGGAUAACUGUGGUAAUUCUAGAGCUAAUACAUGCAACUAGGCCCUGCCCGGCCGCUCCGUCCGUCAAAACGACGGUCGGUCGGAAAGGGCGCCAUUAUCAGCUCAAAACCGACCGGGUCGCCCGCCGUCCUCUGGACGGGCAGGGCUCCCGUUCUCGUUGACCCUUUGACGACUCUGGAUAACCUCCUAGCGGAUCGCCGGUCAAACUUAGGUCGGCCGGGUGUUUCGGCAUCCGCGCCCGACCUAACGGCGACUGGUCUUUCGAAUGUCUGCCUUAUCAACUGUCGACGGUAGGUUAGACGCCUACCGUGGUCGUAACGGGUGACGGGGAAUCAGGGUUCGAUUCCGGAGAGGGAGCCUGAGAAACGGCUACCACAUCCAAGGAAGGCAGCAGGCACGCAAAUUACCCAAUCCCCGAACGGGGAGGUAGUGACGAAAAAUAACGAUACGGGACUCUUAACGAGGCCUCGUAAUCGGAAUGAGUCCGCUCUAAAUCCUUUUAACGAGGAUCUAUCGGAGGGCAAGUCUGGUGCCAGCAGCCGCGGUAAUUCCAGCUCCGAUAGCGUAUAUUAAAGUUGCUGCGGUUAAAAAGCUCGUAGUUGGAUUUGGGUUUUCGGGCCGGCGGGCCGCCGCCUUCGAGCGGCGCGUCUCCCGCCGCGCCCCCGGAACCGCACGGUCGCAGAGGCCCCCGCGGUGCUCUUGAGUGAGUGUCCGCCGGUUCGGGUCGCCGAACGUUUACUUUGAAAAAAUUAGAGUGCUCCAGGCAGGCCGGUAAAGCGUUGUUUAAAAAAGACCCGCGCCUGAAUAGUCACGCAUGGAAUAAUGAAAGAGGACCGGUGGUCCUAUUUUGUUGGUUUUCGGGAUUUUCCGCCGUCAUGAUUAAGAGGGACGGCCGGGGGCAUUCGUACCGCGGCGCGAGAGGUGAAAUUCUAGGACCGCCGCGAGACGAACCGUUGCGAAAGCAUUUGCCAAGAAUGUUUUCCUUAAUCAAGAACGAAAGUCAGAGGUUCGAAGGCGAUCAGAUACCGCCCUAGUUCUGACCGUAAACGAUGCCACCUGACGAUCCGCCAGGGUUACUACCAUGACUCGGCGGGCAGCCCCCGGGAAACCCAAGCCUUCGGGUUCCGGGGGAAGUAUGGUUGCAAAGCUGAAACUUAAAGGAAUUGACGGAAGGGCACCACCAGGAGUGGAGCCUGCGGCUUAAUUUGACUCAACACGGGAAACCUCACCCGGCCCGGACACCGCGAGGAUUGACAGAUUGAGAGCUCUUUCUCGAUUCGGUGGGUGGUGGUGCAUGGCCGUUCUUAGUUGGUGGAGCGAUUUGUCUGGUUAAUUCCGAUAACGAACGAGACUCUAGCCGGUUAAGUAGCCCGGAGCGGUUUUUGAUCUUUGCCGUCCGUCCUCCGUCCUACCUUUUUUUUCCCGUCCUCGGCCGACCGGCCACGGAGGGAAAAGGGAAAGGCGAGGAGGUGGUCAUCCGUGGUGGUUUUUSUGUCCCGUGCACGUUCGCCUUUACCGGCGGGCGUCGUGCGGGCGGUACCCUCGGGGAAACCGUCGCUUCGUUUCCUCCCUCACCUUUCGCCCGCGAGGUCGAGACGGAAAGGGUGGUCGAGGCGGAAGCAUAACCGAAGGCCGCCGGCUUUUACAGGAAGCUUCUUAGAGGGACGAGCGGCGUUCAGCCGCCCGAGAUUGAGCGAUAACAGGUCUGUGAUGCCCUUAGAUGUCCGGGGCCGCACGCGCGCUACACUGAAGGGCUCAGCGUGCUCGUUUCUCCCGAGCCGACAGGCUCGGGGAACCCGUUGAAACCCUUUCGUGCUAGGGACAGGGACUUGCAAUUGUGUCCCUCCAACGAGGAAUUCCCAGUAAGCGCGAGUCAUCAGCUCGCGUUGAUUACGUCCCUGCCCUUUGUACACACCGCCCGUCGCUACUACCGAUUGAACGAUUUAGUGAGGUCUUCGGACCGGUGGCCGUUCCGAGGGCCGUCGCACCUUCACGGGUCGGCGGUUCGAUAAUUUAAAUUUUUUUUUUUUUUUUCUUUCGGGCCGCGCCGGCCGGAAAAAUCCCCAAACUUGAUCGUUUAGAGGAAGA
This 2207-nucleotide ribosomal RNA is filed under the name Kumbadjena sp. MCZ 131432. RNAcentral's name for it is "SSU rRNA". It matches the Rfam family "Eukaryotic small subunit ribosomal RNA". The record is from RNAcentral. Lineage: Eukaryota; Metazoa; Onychophora; Udeonychophora; Euonychophora; Peripatopsidae.